RNAcentral lists this ribosomal RNA (1234 nucleotides) under metagenome. RNAcentral's name for it is "bacterial LSU rRNA". It matches the Rfam family "Bacterial large subunit ribosomal RNA", at positions 1564 to 2808 of the family's 2925-position model. The record is from RNAcentral.
UGAAUACGAGAUGCUACGGCGUCGAAGCAGUCUAUGUCAUACUUCCAAGAAAAGCUCGCACUGUCAUAAACAAAUAAUGCCUGUACCAUAACCGACACAGGUGGGUAGGUAGAGUAUACUAAGGGGCGCGAGAUAACUCUCUCUAAGGAACUCGGCAAAAUGACUCCGUAACUUCGGGAGAAGGAGUGCCUUAUUUAUAAGGUUGCAAUAACAAGAUCCAAGCAACUGUUUAUCAAAAACACAGGUCUCCGCUAAGUCGUAAGACGAUGUAUGGGGGCUGACGCCUGCCCAGUGCCAGAAGGUUAAAGAAGUUGGUUAGCAUUCGCGAAGCUGAUAACUGAAGCCCUGGUGAACGGCGGCCGUAACAAUAACGGUCCUAAGGUAGCGAAAUUCCUUGUCGGGUAAGUUCCGACCCGCACGAAAGGCGUAAUGAUUUGGAUACUGUCUCGGAGAGGGGCUCGGUGAAAUAGACUUGUCUGUGAAGAUGCGGACUACCUGCACCAGGACAGAAAGACCCUAUGAAGCUUUACUGUAACUUGAGAUUGAAAUUGGACUUUACUUGCGCAGUAUAGGUGGGAGGCGUUGAUAAUAUUCUUGCGGGAUUAUUUGAGCCAUCAGUGAGAUACCACUCUUGUAAUGUUAGAUUUCUAACUUUGUAUCAUUAUCUGGUCAAAGGACAGUUUCAGGCGGGUAGUUUGACUGGGGCGGUCGCCUCCUAAACGGUAACGGAGGCGCACAAAGGUUUCCUCUGAACGGGUAGAAAUCGUAUCUAGAGUGUAAAGGCAUAAGGAAGCUUGACUGUGAGACCUACAAGUCGAGCAGGGACGAAAGUCGGUCUUAGUGAUCUGACGGUGCUGAGUGGAAAGGCCGUCACUCAACGGAUAAAAGUUACUCUAGGAUAACAGGCUGAUCUCCCCCAAGAGUUCACAUCGACGGGGAGGUUUGGCACCUCGAUGUCGGCUCAUCGCAUCCUGGGGCGGUAGUACGUCCCAAGGGUUGGGCUGUUCGCCCAUAAAAGCGGUACGCGAGCUGGGUUCAGAACGUCGUGAGACAGUUCGGUCCAUAUCCGGUGUAGGCGUUAGAAUAUUGAGAGGAGCCUUCUUUAGUACGAGAGGACCGAGAAGGACAUACCUCUGGUGUACCAGUUAUCGUGCCAACGGUAAACGCUGGGUAGCUAUGUAUGGAGUGGAUAACCGCUGAAAGCAUCUAAGUGGGAAGCCCACCUCAAGAUAAG